GACGAACGCUGGCGGCGUGCUUAACACAUGCAAGUCGAACGGAAAGGCCCUGCUUUGGUGGGGUGCUCGAGUGGCGAACGGGUGAGUAACACGUGAGUAACCUGCCCUUGACUUUGGGAUAAGUUCAGGAAACUGGGGCUAAUACCGGAUAUGAGCUCCUGCUGCAUGGGGGGGGUUGGAAAGUUUCGGCGGUUGGGGAUGGACUCGCGGCUUAUCAGCUUGUUGGUGGGGUAGUGGCUUACCAAGGCUUUGACGGGUAGCCGGCCUGAGAGGGUGACCGGCCACAUUGGGACUGAGAUACGGCCCAGACUCCUACGGGAGGCAGCAGUGGGGAAUAUUGCACAAUGGGCGGAAGCCUGAUGCAGCAACGCCGCGUGCGGGAUGACGGCCUUCGGGUUGUAAACCGCUUUCGCCUGUGACGAAGCGUGAGUGACGGUAAUGGGUAAAGAAGCACCGGCUAACUACGUG
Molecule: ribosomal RNA, 468 nt
Filed under: uncultured bacterium
Lineage: Bacteria
Description: partial 16S ribosomal RNA
Rfam family: Bacterial small subunit ribosomal RNA
Source: RNAcentral